RNAcentral lists this transfer RNA (72 nucleotides) under Octopus vulgaris (common octopus). It matches the Rfam family "tRNA". Rfam says of the family: Transfer RNA (tRNA) molecules are approximately 80 nucleotides in length. Their secondary structure includes four short double-helical elements and three loops (D, anti-codon, and T loops). Further hydrogen bonds mediate the characteristic L-shaped molecular structure. tRNAs have two regions of fundamental functional importance: the anti-codon, which is responsible for specific mRNA codon recognition, and the 3' end, to which the tRNAs corresponding amino acid is attached (by aminoacyl-tRNA synthetases). tRNAs cope with the degeneracy of the genetic code in two manners: having more than one tRNA (with a specific anti-codon) for a particular amino acid; and 'wobble' base-pairing, i.e. permitting non-standard base-pairing at the 3rd anti-codon position. Lineage: Eukaryota; Metazoa; Mollusca; Cephalopoda; Octopoda; Octopodidae. The record is from Rfam by way of RNAcentral. RNAcentral also lists the same sequence under 1 other name.
GGUUCUAUGGUGUAAUGGUUAGAACUCUGGACUUUGAAUCCAGCGAUCUGAGUUCAAAUCCCAGUAGAACCU